RNAcentral lists this ribosomal RNA (759 nucleotides) under uncultured Prevotella sp. RNAcentral describes it as "bacterial SSU rRNA". It matches the Rfam family "Bacterial small subunit ribosomal RNA", at positions 28 to 776 of the family's 1533-position model. The record is from RNAcentral. Lineage: Bacteria; Pseudomonadati; Bacteroidota; Bacteroidia; Bacteroidales; Prevotellaceae.
GAUGAACGCUAGCUACAGGCUUAACACAUGCAAGUCGCGGGGCAGCAUGUUGGUUGCUUGCAACCGAUGAUGGCGACCGGCGCACGGGUGAGUAACGCGUAUCCAACCUACCUAUUACCACGGGAUAACCCGGCGAAAGUCGGACUAAUACCGUAUGUGGUCUUCGAUUGGCAUCAGCAGUAGACUAAAGGUUUGGCGGUAAUAGAUGGGGAUGCGUCCGAUUAGUUAGUUGGCGGGGUAACGGCCCACCAAGACGUCGAUCGGUAGGGGUUCUGAGAGGAAGGUCCCCCACACUGGAACUGAGACACGGUCCAGACUCCUACGGGAGGCAGCAGUGAGGAAUAUUGGUCAAUGGGCGUAAGCCUGAACCAGCCAAGUAGCGUGCAGGAUGACGGCCCUAUGGGUUGUAAACUGCUUUUAUGCAAGAAUAAAUUAGCUCACGUGUGGGUUAUUGCAGGUAUUGCAUGAAUAAGGACCGGCUAAUUCCGUGCCAGCAGCCGCGGUAAUACGGAAGGUCCGGGCGUUAUCCGGAUUUAUUGGGUUUAAAGGGAGCGUAGGCGGCCUUUUAAGCGUGUUGUGAAAUUCAGUUGCUCAACAUCUGACUUGCAGCGCGAACUGGGGGGCUUGAGUAUGCUGAAGGUAGGCGGAAUUCGUGGUGUAGCGGUGAAAUGCUUAGAUAUCACGAAGAACUCCGAUUGCGAAGGCAGCUUACUGCAGCUUAACUGACGCUGAUGCUCGAAAGCGUGGGUAUCGAACAGG